This 198-nucleotide non-coding RNA is filed under the name Desulfobacteraceae bacterium. The record is from RNAcentral. Lineage: Bacteria; Pseudomonadati; Thermodesulfobacteriota; Desulfobacteria; Desulfobacterales; Desulfobacteraceae.
AAGGCUUUUCAAAGUUCAGGUGUUCAAUUAGCUUAAUAGGGAAACCGGUUAGAUUCCGGUACGGGCCCGCCGCUGUAACCCUACCCUUUUAAAGGGAACCUUUUUAGCAUUCAUUCGCCACUGUUCCGACAAGCCGGGAUGGGAAGGCCGCUAAAAAGGCAAGGAAGUCAGAAGACCUGCCUGAACUGAAGGUUUAAC